UACAGAGGUGCCGAGCGUUAGGCGGAAUCACUGGGCUUAAAGCGCGCGUAGGCGGAUGUAUAAGUGUCUUGUGAAAUCCCACGGCUCAACCGUGGAACUGCUGGGCAUACUGGGCAUCUUGAGGCACUCAAGGGCGAGCGGAACAAGUGGUGGAGCGGUGAAAUGCGUAGAUAUCACUUGGAACGCCAAUGGUGAAGACAGCUCGCUGGGGAUGUCCUGACGCUGAGGCGCGAAAGCCAGGGGAG
RNAcentral lists this ribosomal RNA (245 nucleotides) under uncultured Planctomyces sp. RNAcentral describes it as "partial 16S ribosomal RNA". It matches the Rfam family "Bacterial small subunit ribosomal RNA", at positions 524 to 768 of the family's 1533-position model. The record is from RNAcentral. Lineage: Bacteria; Pseudomonadati; Planctomycetota; Planctomycetia; Planctomycetales; Planctomycetaceae.